GACGAACGCUGGCGGCGUGCUUAACACAUGCAAGUCGAACGGAAAGGCCCUGCUUUUGUGGGGUGCUCGAGUGGCGAACGGGUGAGUAACACGUGAGUAACCUGCCCUUGACUUUGGGAUAACUUCAGGAAACUGGGGCUAAUACCGGAUAGGAGCUCCUGCUGCAUGGUGGGGGUUGGAAAGUUUCGGCGGUUGGGGAUGGACUCGCGGCUUAUCAGCUUGUUGGUGGGGUAGUGGCUUACCAAGGCUUUGACGGGUAGCCGGCCUGAGAGGGUGACCGGCCACAUGGGGACUGAGAUACGGCCCUGACUCCUACGGGAGGCAGCAGUGGGGAAUAUUGCACAAUGGGCGGAAGCCUGAUGCAGCAACGCCGCGUGCGGAUGACGGCCUUCGGGUUGUAAACCGCUUUCGCCUGUGACGAAGCGUGAGUGACGGUAAUGGGUAAAGAAGCACCGGCUAACUACGUG
RNAcentral lists this ribosomal RNA (467 nucleotides) under uncultured bacterium. RNAcentral's name for it is "partial 16S ribosomal RNA". It matches the Rfam family "Bacterial small subunit ribosomal RNA", at positions 28 to 507 of the family's 1533-position model. The record is from RNAcentral.